GACGAACGCUGGCGGCGUGCUUAACACAUGCAAGUCGAACGGAAAGGCCCUGCUUUUGUGGGGUGCUCGAGUGGCGAACGGGUGAGUAACACGUGAGUAACCUGCCCUUGACUUUGGGAUAACUUCAGGAAACUGGGGCUAAUACCGGAUAGGAGCUCCUGAUGCAUGGUGGGGGUUGGAAAGUUUCGGCGGAUGGGGAUGGACUCGCGGCUUAUCAGCUUGUUGGUGGGGUAGUGGCUUACCAAGGCUUUGACGGGUAGCCGGCCUGAGAGGGUGACCGGCCACAUUGGGACUGAGAUACGGCCCAGACUCCUACGGGAGGCAGCAGUGGGGAAUAUUGCACAAUGGGCGGAAGCCUGAUGCAGCAACGCCGCGUGCGGGAUGACGGCCUUCGGGUUGUAAACCGCUUUCGCCUGUGACGAAGCGUGAGUGACGGUAAUGGGUAAAGAAGCACCGGCUAACUACGUG
This 468-nucleotide ribosomal RNA is filed under the name uncultured bacterium. RNAcentral's name for it is "partial 16S ribosomal RNA". It matches the Rfam family "Bacterial small subunit ribosomal RNA", at positions 28 to 507 of the family's 1533-position model. The record is from RNAcentral.